Molecule: ribosomal RNA, 459 nt
Filed under: uncultured bacterium
Lineage: Bacteria
Description: bacterial SSU rRNA
Rfam family: Bacterial small subunit ribosomal RNA
Source: RNAcentral
ACGACGCUGGCGGCGUGCUUAACACAUGCAAGUCGAACGGUAAGGCCCUUCGGGGUACACGAGUGGCGAACGGGUGAGUAACACGUGGGUGAUCUGCCCUGCACUUUGGGAUAAGCCUGGGAAACUGGGUCUAAUACCGAAUAUGACCAUGGACUUCACGGUUUGUGGUGGAAAGCUUUUGCGGUGUGGGAUGGGCCCGCGGCCUAUCAGCUUGUUGGUGGGGUAAUGGCCUACCAAGGCGACGACGGGUAGCCGGCCUGAGAGGGUGACCGGCCACACUGGGACUGAGAUACGGCCCAGACUCCUACGGGAGGCAGCAGUGGGGAAUAUUGCACAAUGGGCGCAAGCCUGAUGCAGCGACGCCGCGUGGGGAUGACGGCCUUCGGGUUGUAAACCUCUUUCACCAGGGACGAAGCGAGAGUGACGGUACCUGGAGAAGAAGGACCGGCCAACUACGUG